GGACUACCCGGGUAUCUAAUCCCAUUCGCGACCCACGCUUUCGUGUUUCAGCGUCAGUAGUGGACCAGUCUUCUGCCUUCGCUUUUGGUGUUCCCCAUGAUAUCAACGCAUUUCACCGCUACACCAUGAGUUCCGAAGACCCCUUCCACACUCCAGUCUCGCCGUUUCCCUUCCGAGCCCUCGGUUGAGCCGAGGAAUUUGAGAAGAGACUAACGAAACCGCCUACACACCCUUUACGCCCAAUGAUUCCGGAUAACGCUCGAGGCACUCGUAUUACCGCGGCUGCUGGCAC
This 292-nucleotide ribosomal RNA is filed under the name uncultured bacterium. Its description in RNAcentral is "partial 16S ribosomal RNA". The record is from RNAcentral.